This is a long non-coding RNA of Scylla paramamosain (green mud crab), 471 nucleotides long. RefSeq lists it as uncharacterized. NCBI's taxonomy places the organism in Eukaryota, Metazoa, Arthropoda, Malacostraca, Decapoda, Portunidae. The record is from RefSeq and is a predicted model, not a curated record. The transcript has 3 exons.
GAAAGGAACACCAGUGAAGGGUGCCUGUGACUGUGUUGGCUGCGGUUGACUCCUUUCCUGCCUAAAUGCGUGGAUAUCUUGGGUAAAUUCGGGUGAACUCACUCGGACAAGGGCCUUGCGUGAACCUGAAAGAGUCAAGGCUGAUGUCCCCAGCACCGACAGACCCGACGGACGCCUCCAACACCAGCUGGAUCUCCUGGUCGAUGGCUACAGUUUGCUGACAGGCGUACCAGCUGUUCCAGAUGCCUCGUAACUCUGCCCGUGGCCUCGUCCGCGUGCCUGCUGAAGUGCGGCGGCUCCAGCGAGGGAAGGAUCCAGUCACCGCGUCCAAGCAAGGUAAAGUCUGAGUUGUUCGAGUAAUGUUCCCUUUUUUUAGACGCCUUGUCUCUGUGUUCUCCCUCACUUUGUUCGUAAUGUGGCUGUUGUUGAAAUCUCUACUUUAUUUGUUUAUUUUUUUUAUUUUUUUAUUUG